RNAcentral lists this ribosomal RNA (503 nucleotides) under uncultured bacterium. Its description in RNAcentral is "bacterial SSU rRNA". It matches the Rfam family "Bacterial small subunit ribosomal RNA", at positions 15 to 518 of the family's 1533-position model. The record is from RNAcentral.
GAUCCUGGCUCAAGAUGAACGCUAGCUACAGGCUAACACAUGCAAGUCGAGGGGUAGCAGGGUAGCAAUACCGCUGACGACCGGCGCACGGGUGAGUAACACGUAUCCAACCUUCCCAUAACUCAGGGAUAGCCUUUCGAAAGAAAGAUUAAUACCUGAUAGUACUUUUCAAGGCAUCUUGAGAAGUUAAAGAUUUAUUGGUUAUGGAUGGGGAUGCGUUCCAUUAGAUAGUUGGUGAGGUAACGGCUCACCAAGUCUUCGAUGGAUAGGGGUUCUGAGAGGAAGGUCCCCCACAUUGGUACUGAGACACGGACCAAACUCCUACGGGAGGCAGCAGUGAGGAAUAUUGGUCAAUGGGCGAGAGCCUGAACCAGCCAAGUAGCGUGAAGGAUGAAGGUCCUAUGGAUUGUAAACUUCUUUUAUAGUAGAAUAAAGUGAUCCACGUGUGGAUUUUUGUAUGUAUACUAUGAAUAAGGAUCGGCUAACUCCGUGCCAGCCGCAGC